Molecule: non-coding RNA, 64 nt
Organism: Cordylochernes scorpioides
Lineage: Eukaryota; Metazoa; Arthropoda; Arachnida; Pseudoscorpiones; Chernetidae
Source: the annotation of a GenBank genome assembly
UGCGACGGCCGGGAAUCGAACCCGGGUCAACUGCUUGGAAGGCUAACCAUUAUACCACCGUCGC